UACGAAGGGUGCAAGCGUUAAUCGGAAUUACUGGGCGUAAAGGGUGCGUAGGCGGUUCGUUAAGUCUGUCGUGAAAUCCCCGGGCUCAACCUGGGAAUGGCGAUGGAUACUGGCGAGCUAGAGUGUGUCAGAGGAUGGUGGAAUUCCCGGUGUAGCGGUGAAAUGCGUAGAGAUCGGGAGGAACAUCAGUGGCGAAGGCGGCCAUCUGGGACAACACUGACGCUGAAGCACGAAAGCGUGGGGAGCAAAC
This 250-nucleotide ribosomal RNA is filed under the name uncultured bacterium. Its description in RNAcentral is "partial 16S ribosomal RNA". It matches the Rfam family "Bacterial small subunit ribosomal RNA", at positions 524 to 773 of the family's 1533-position model. The record is from RNAcentral.